This 1001-nucleotide long non-coding RNA is filed under the name Cricetulus griseus (Chinese hamster). RNAcentral describes it as "lncRNA (ENSCGRG00015027262.2)". The record is from RNAcentral. Lineage: Eukaryota; Metazoa; Chordata; Mammalia; Rodentia; Cricetidae.
CUGAGUUGACUACUUGUAGCUCCCCAGUGAAGUCAGCAUGAUGCUUUCUGUUCAGAGUACAAAUUUUUAUACCAUGCAUCUGAAGUAGUCCUUUCCCCUAAAAACAAUCACAAAUUUCAGGCUGUUAUUGCGUGCAAAGACUUGGCCAUUAGGGUUUACUCUUCCCUUGCAUGGCCCACUAGGUCAAACAGAGCAGAUUCCAUAAUACCUGACAUCUUUGAUACAAUCUGAAAAACAUAAUCAAAUUACAUUCUGGAAAACACUGGCUUUGCACGAAAACAGAGGUUUCUAAAAUGCUGCCACUUAAAGUCUCACUUCUGUGACUUCUUACCCAUCACUCACAGGAUGCUGAGCUCUGGAUGGCCACAGCAGCUGAGGAUGCAAAGAGCAUGAUGGAUCAACUAUUCUAUCACGGAGAAGUCACCCACCAGCAGCUCCCGGUUAUUGGAAAGGUGGAUGGAACAGCAGAGAUCAUCCCACCCAUUCAUUUUCCUGAGGACACCAAGACCAGGAGCUCAGAACAGGCUCGGGUUGCACCGCCAGGGGACGCUGUGUACAAGGGGGCCCCGAUGAUGAGGCCCAGUUCUGCAGCCUCACUUCUCAGCCCUUCUGCCUCAAGAUGCUUGCCUCUCUUUCUGCAUUUUUUCCAAGUUAACACGCAAGACCAAAGAAAGGAAAAAUAAAGGAGCAAACACAACGGAUCAACCCAUUCAAGCAAAGCCAGGUCCCUCCCCUGCCUUGCAUUUCCCAGGUACUGGCUAAGCCUCGGGCGGCUUCAAGGAAAGUUUAAAUUCCUUAGACUCAAGGGACGACAAAGUCACCAGUGAGAAGUGAGCUGAGCGCGGGGCGCUGGGACACCCGGGCCAUCUAAGUUCUCCGGGACGCGGCACCCAGGAACUUGGGGCGCCCCACGCCAGUCCCCUUGCGCCCCCAACCCGACCCAGGUAACCAACCCGAGGCCACCUACGUGUCACUCGGACGGACCCUGGGGCGCACUGACC